This 396-nucleotide ribosomal RNA is filed under the name uncultured bacterium. RNAcentral's name for it is "bacterial SSU rRNA". It matches the Rfam family "Bacterial small subunit ribosomal RNA", at positions 28 to 429 of the family's 1533-position model. The record is from RNAcentral.
GACGAACGCUGGCGGCGUGCUUAACACAUGCAAGUCGAGCGGUAAGGCCCUUUCGGGGGUACGACGAGCGGCGAACGGGUGAGUAACACGUGGGUGACCUGCCCUCAGCUCUGGGAUAAGCCUGGGAAACCGGGUCUAAUACUGGAUAUGACUCCAUGACGCAUGUUGUGGGGUGGAAAGCCUUGUGCGGCUGAGGAUGGGCCCGCGGCCUAUCAGCUUGUUGGUGGGGUGAGGCCUACCAAGGCGACGACGGGUAGCCGGCCUGAGAGGGCGACCGGCCACACUGGGACUGAGACACGGCCCAGACUCCUACGGGAGGCAGCAGUGGGGAAUCUUGCGCAAUGGGCGAAAGCCUGACGCAGCGACGCCGCGUGAGGGAUGACGGCCUGGUGUAAC